GACGAACGCUGGCGGCGUGCUUAACACAUGCAAGUCGAACGAAGAGCGAUGGAAGCUUGCUUCUAUCAAUCUUAGUGGCGAACGGGUGAGUAACGCGUAAUCAACCUGCCCUUCAGAGGGGGACAACAGUUGGAAACGACUGCUAAUACCGCAUACGAUCUAAUCUCGGCAUCGAGGAUAGAUUAAAGGUGGCCUCUACAUGUAAGCUAUCACUGAAGGAGGGGAUUGCGUCUGAUUAGCUAGUUGGAGGGGUAACGGCCCACCAAGGCGAUGAUCAGUAGCCGGUCUGAGAGGAUGAACGGCCACAUUGGGACUGAGACACGGCCCAGACUCCUACGGGACGCAGCAGUGGGGAAUCUUCCGCAAUGGACGAAAGUCUGACGGAGCAACGCCGCGUGAGUGAUGACGGCCUUCGGGUUGUAAAGCUCUGUUAAUCGGGACGAAAGGCCUUCUUGCGAAUAGUGAGAAGGAUUGACGGUACCGGAAUAGAAAGCCACGGCUAACUACGUG
RNAcentral lists this ribosomal RNA (510 nucleotides) under uncultured bacterium. RNAcentral describes it as "partial 16S ribosomal RNA". It matches the Rfam family "Bacterial small subunit ribosomal RNA", at positions 28 to 507 of the family's 1533-position model. The record is from RNAcentral.